This 85-nucleotide transfer RNA is filed under the name Desulforhopalus sp. RNAcentral describes it as "tRNA-Tyr". It matches the Rfam family "tRNA". From Rfam's summary of the family: Transfer RNA (tRNA) molecules are approximately 80 nucleotides in length. Their secondary structure includes four short double-helical elements and three loops (D, anti-codon, and T loops). Lineage: Bacteria; Pseudomonadati; Thermodesulfobacteriota; Desulfobulbia; Desulfobulbales; Desulfocapsaceae. The record is from RNAcentral.
GGAGGGGUUCCCGAGUGGCCAAAGGGAACAGACUGUAAAUCUGUCGGCUCAGCCUUCGGAGGUUCGAAUCCUCCCACCUCCACCA